GAUGUAGAGGUGGUAGAGCCACUUGAGAACUGCAAUCCUGGUCAUCAUCCCAAUGGCCGUGUCACUGAGGUGGCAGUUUAGGACCUGCACGAUCCCGUCGAGGUGAAGGGUCACUGGGGCUCUUUCAGUGCUGUGGGUAAGAUCGGGAGGGAGAGCAGAGGUGAAGCCCACCAUAGCCCUCUCCCAUGGAGUCAUGGCACCACCCUGGGCCUGCACAUCCUGAGUCACACACUGCUAACCACCGUCUAGGGGGAUCGGGGGUCAGGGAUAACCUGAUCCCACACAUCCUUGCUGGUCUCCCACCAUCCCAGCUCAGCCCAGCCCAGGGGUUUGAAGGGGGCUUCUCUCUCUCCCUUUCCAAAGAAGUUUGGAGCUUGCUGCUGGGCUGGAACCAUGAUAACCAUGUUUUGGGGGAUGAGGACCAGUCUGCUGGGCUCCCACUCACUUUUCCUUUUCUUUCUCCAGCACCAGCCUGGCUUGCACAGGAGGAGAAACCCUCUCCCAGUCACUGAGCUGACCUGACCAGGCUCAAGGCAUUAAGUUCAGACCCUUUCUUGGAAAAACAAAACCACCAGGUCUGGACUGUAUGAGGGAAGGUCCCGAUAACAACUGUUGACCUCCGCCAGGCCCUUCACCGGCCAUCUGAAGGAUGUUUCUCAAGUGAGGUCAGGGAUCGAGGCUUGUCAUUGUGCCUUGCCACUGCACCAGGGCACUCAGCACAUUUGGCCUAGGAGAGACACCCUUGAGAGUUAAGACCAAAAUGCGCUCCUUUGAGUUGGGGAAGGGGUAAACACAGCCUCUGCCUAUGAGAAACGGAUAUUGUUCAGGAGGUACUUUUGUUCUGGUGGGCACAGGAAGCCCCCUGGCUUCUGUGGACUGAAGUCCUGCGGGUCCCCAAAGUUCUGCUAAGCAGCCUGCGGGACAGCGGGUGCUGCUGGGAGGCUUGAGUUGGUUUUUUGCCCAAAGCACUGCUCCCUGGCACAGGCUGGGUUUUCAAGGUGGGGGCAGCAUGGGUAGAAAAACCUCGGGAUAUUGGGGAGGGGCUCCCUUCCUACCGAGGCACUACACUGUACUUCCCAAAUGGUGCCGACAGGUGCAGGCCAGGGGUUGCAUUUUCUAAGGACCUGGGCCAGCAGAUCAGUCCCCUGCCGGUAUAAAACCGUCUCUUCGUGGCAUUUCUAGGCUGCUCAAUUAUUCAUUUGCAUCAGGAACUGAUGGCUGUGCUUUCCUCACUCGCCUGCAGCCUCUCUGAAGCUCAUUUGAUGUGAAUCCCUAAAGGGCAUGAUUCUGCGCUCUGUAAUUGCUGAGAGGAAUUGCUAUUUAAUAUGGUUUGAUGAUCCCCAUGGUGCACAUUUCAGGGGCAAGAGUGGGCACAUCUAUCCUCUGGUGGCCAGGAGCUCCGGGCAUGUGAUACAGCCACAGAGCCUGGAACUGAGUCUCUGGGCGGGUGGCCACUGUGAUAUCCCUAGUGGUCACGUGGCUGGAAGUUCCUGGUGUCUUCUGAGGAUAUCGAAACACUUAAAUCUUUGCUAGCCUGAGACAGACGGGGACAGUACUGUGCAGGUAGAGGAGUCUAGGGCGGUAAACACUGGCCCCGUCAAUCUCUUAAUCAGUUUCUCUCAAGUCCACUGUCCCGCAGAAAUACAACGCAAGUCACAGAUAUAAUUUUACAUCUUCCAGUUUUCAAUUAAAAAGGAGAAACAGGUGAAAUGAAUUUCAAUGCUGUUUUAAUUGACCCAAUGUAUCUAAAAUAUUAGCAUCUCAACAUGUAAUCAAUAUAACAGUGAAUGUAAACAUUCCCAACAAAAUCUAUUCUCUUUUGUGUCCUAAGCCUUUGGGACCUGGUGUGCAUUUCACCGUUACGGUGCACCUCGGUUCAGAGUAGCCAACAGGCACUCAGUAGCCACGUGGCUGCCGCGGAGGCCCACACAACAGUCCACGCCAGGACUUUCUGAGUGUUUCCUUGUCAUCUCUGGCAGUUUCCUAGCCACUCCCUUAGCUGACGGCCAGCAUUUACUGUUUUAUCUCCCAUUCCCUCUUUUUCCCGUCCUGCAGAGCUCCUUCCCUUGCGUUCUGUUCCACACACUUUUUGGGCUGGAAGAAUCCCCUGGCUAGAGAAGCUCAUGUCCUGGUGGUGGAAGAGAUGCCGCCCUACAGCCCAAGGCCUUAUGCAAAGCAGCAAACACCUGAACACAGCGAACCUGAAGGUAUAGGGCAUCUUCAGGCUGCUACUGAGGCGGUCCUGCCGCACUCAACCCAGAACCUCAUCACUAAAAGGAACCUCAUGGUUCAGGUAACACAAUCCUUCAAGGUACGGAUGAGCAAGCCCAGGUCCAGAGGCAGUACGGGACCCAUCUGAGACCAUGAGGCCAUGUACCAAGCAGUCAUUCCCUGGGCUGGAGACACUCUCCCUGGGCUUUUCUUCCCUUGCCUGGCUGGAGGUGGAGGUCAUGGGAAGCAGGUGGACCCUAGAGGACCAGGCAGACUGAUCUUAGUGCCUAGGAAAGGGAGGGUCAAGAUCCCAGCUGCUGUCGGCUCCCAGCUGCUCUGCUGGGCAGGGUUGGCUGCUGCUGCUGAGCUCUGCACAUGCUCAGCAGGGGAACUGGGGCUCUGGGACCCUGCACUCUUCCUAGAGGGCACACUGCAUGAUGUGCUCAGUUCCCCAGCUGCUGGGCCGGAGCCUGAGAGGUAGCACCCUGCUGUCGUGGCUUACCUUACCCAUCAAGAACAGAGGGAGCUCACUCAGUUUAAAAUACAUUUCUGCAUCAGUUCCAAAAAGUCUAGACGAGUCACUCCUGGGGGCUUCUGAGUUAUUUCAAGGUGUCUGCAAAAUUCCAUUUUCAUGGAGCAUUUUCUCAUAAAGCAUCUUAUAAUGAAUGUCUUACACAUACGCGUACUACAGUUUCCAAAUGCAUGGCGCUGCUGUGACU
This 2930-nucleotide long non-coding RNA is filed under the name Homo sapiens (human). RNAcentral's name for it is "VAC14 antisense RNA 1". The record is from RNAcentral. Lineage: Eukaryota; Metazoa; Chordata; Mammalia; Primates; Hominidae.